AGCUUUAUGAAAUUAUAUCAAGCACAUCCUGAUCAGUGAAAUCAACAGCCGCCCAAUUUUAUACUGUGCUAAGGUAGCAUAAUCACUUGUCUUCUAAUUAAAGAAUAGAAUGAACGGAAAACGAAUAUUAAACUGCUUCAUUUUUUAAAAAUAAAAUUUCACCUAAAGUAAAAAUGCUUUUUUAAUCUAAAAAGACGACAAGACCCUAAAGAACUAAUACUUAAGUUUAGCUGGGGCGGCUACACAAAAAAAUCUUAUUUAAAUAAUACCAUUCCUAACUCUAUAAAAGUUACCUUAGGGAUAACAGCAUAAUUUAAUUCAAAAGCUCUUAUAAAAAAUUAAGAUUAUGACCUCGAUGUUGAAUUAAGCUUCUUUCUUGAAGAAAAGCUCAGACUAAGAAAGUCUGUUCGACUUUUAAAUACUUACAUGAUUUGAGUUCAGACCGGUGAAAACCAGGUCGGUUUCCAUCUUUUUUAAAAAUAUGCUAGUACGAAAGGACCUCAUAAUUUAUUUCUAAU
This 518-nucleotide ribosomal RNA is filed under the name Dysdera lancerotensis. Its description in RNAcentral is "partial 16S ribosomal RNA". The stretch from base 189 to 473 matches the Rfam family "Bacterial large subunit ribosomal RNA", at positions 2074 to 2646 of the family's 2925-position model. The record is from RNAcentral. Lineage: Eukaryota; Metazoa; Arthropoda; Arachnida; Araneae; Dysderidae.